UGCCAGCCGCCGCGGUAAUACGGGGGGAGCAAGCGUUGUUCGGAAUCACUGGGCGUAAAGGGCGCGUAGGCGGCUUUGGUAGUCGGAUGUGAAAGCCCGGGGCUCAACCCCGGAACGGCAUCCGAUACUCCAAGGCUCGAGUCCGGAAGAGGAGGGUGGAAUACCCAGUGUAGAGGUGAAAUUCGUAGAUAUUGGGUGGAACACCGGUGGCGAAAGCGGCUCUCUGGUCCGGUACUGACGCUGAGGUGCGAAAGCUAGGGGAGCGAACAGGAUUAGAUA
RNAcentral lists this ribosomal RNA (279 nucleotides) under uncultured bacterium. Its description in RNAcentral is "partial 16S ribosomal RNA". It matches the Rfam family "Bacterial small subunit ribosomal RNA", at positions 506 to 784 of the family's 1533-position model. The record is from RNAcentral.